UGGCUUAUCUGCAAUGGGUUCAACAGUUACUUUGGAGAUAGUCUUGGCCUUUUUAGCAACCUUGGGUCUAGAUUGCUUAAGUUGUUGAUAAUCAAAGGCAUCAGGCGAGAUUUCUUGCUUCUUUCUUUUUGGGGUAAAAGAACUAAGCCACGGAGGUAGAGUCAUCAACUCUCCUUCAAUAACAAAUGCAAGUAGAGGAGAAGCAGUUUUUGUUUGAACAACUGUGGUCAUCCUGGGAGGAGUAUCUGUUUGGAUGGUGACCACGGUUUUCUCAAUAACCAAUGGCAUGAAGAUUGCUUCAUAAAUUCUUCAAAACCAGAAGUGGAGGUAUCAAUCUCUGACAGUUGGAUACAAGCAGAAGUAUCUUCAGGAACUUCCAGCACACUCUCUUGUUGAUGAUCAGGAGGCGGCUCAUAUGCUGAAAUAGGAAUGGCAUUCUGAGGAGACUCCACCAUUAAGUCAGAAGGAGAAAGGGGCGUCUCAAUGGAAACUGAGGAAGGGAUCUCAUGAGGCGAAUCCGAAGCUGGAGACUUACGAGCAUCAUCAGAUUGCUGCCCUUUUUCUGGAUUAUCAAGAUCAAUCACCUGAACAUGGAACCGUGACUUUUCCUUCCCACAAACUGUCGCCUCCUUAGGAGGAAGCACUACUGCCCGACUAACUCGCAAUUUGAUCCUUGUGCCCGAAGAUGAUGCACCUUCCUUGUUGUCAACCUGAAUCUCAGACUUACGUCCAAGAAGCCCAAUAGAAUCAUCUUCCUUUCCAACCUUGAUUUUAAUGAAUCUAACACCAUUACUUUUCAGCCAAGCGUUGGUGUUAGCCAAGAUAGGCUGAAAUCUCUCAACGAUGGAUGUGCAAUCCUUGUGUGACCAUUGGAUUAAAUUAAGUGGAGCUUCCUCAACCCUUCGUAAAAUAUAUUCAGGAUCAAGUACAUGCCCAUCAUCAAUCAUCCCUUGUGGAAUAUCCACUAAGUUCAAAUCAACAACUUGCUCAACAGUGAGCCUGCAGUAAUCCAUCUUCAGAAUUUCUACCUCUGUACGGAGAUCUAUCCAGAUAUCCUCAAUACGAUGCACGUGCACGAAGGAUUUUUUGAUCUUCUCCUUCAUACCCUGGUAAUCAAAAUCAGCUCUAGACUUAAACGUUUUGAGCUUAAUUUCUUGCAUCUCGGUCUCCAUGGCCUUGGCUUUAACAGAGGUGACAAGAGAAUACCGACCAAUUUUUAAUGGGUUUGUUGUAGAGAUCCCCAUUCCAACCUUAUGUCUGACAGACUGAUGAGUGUGGACAGCCAUGAUUUGUCUUCCCAACUCCAUAAGAAUGAUCUUAUAAGUUGGGUAUCUAGGGAGCAUGUAUGGCUGCCCACUAUAGCAUUCGACUCUCAUAUAUGUAAAGGUCGGGAAUUGAAGAAACAGUCAUCCAUACUCAUUCACUCUUUUCCAUGCCUCAUCGGAUACUCUUCUGUUCUUCAGAUUUUUGUCAAACUGGCACAUAAAAUAACCAAAGAAUGCAUCUUGAAUCCUUUUGAAAUGCAAUCUGUUGGGUCUCAAAGGCAGCUGAUCAUAAUAUUCCCAUACCGUUAUAAGCAAGUGAUCAACCUUGGUAGAAAGACCUGGAAAAUGUUUGAGUGAUGCUGCCAAGUACACCAAAUAUGAGUUCAUGUAAAAAGUCAUGGUGGAAGAGACUGUUGAAAGUUGCUCGCACAAGGUAUCACUGAUGACUUCUCCCCAUGAGAUGUGAUGAGAUCGCCUUAUGAACAUGAUAAAUUGGUACAUCCAUGGCUCAAAAACAUUAGAAUGUUCAAAACCCAUCAUCCUGCUAAAGAGAGUUAUGAUGUCCCCAAUCUCCCAUUUGAAGUCACAACGGUACAACUUGGCCCACCUUGAGAAAGCGGCUCGUGGCUCAUGGAUCCACCUGUUGAUAUGACGUUUGCAAUCCUUCUCUCUUUUGACAUAGUACUCAACUGCACUAUCUUUGGAGAUCUCCAUAUAAACAGGUGUUGGAGGUAUUCUGAAGACUUUCUCAAUUGUGUCUGCGUCAAGGCGGAUUAUUGCUUCACCAUCAUUUUUAAUGGUUCUUGUCUCCUUGUCAAAGUGAUGGGCGCAAGCGAGAACAAAUUCAGGUUCUAGGGCAGCCACUAGGAAAGAAGAUGCGUGAUGGAUAUGGCUGUCCAAUAGCCGCUGCAUAUUGCUAUCUUGCGGAUCCUCAACCCUCUUGACAAAUUCGGACAUGUCCACAUGCCCUAUCUCUAUAUCUCUUAUGCGAUCCAAAGGAGAAGAGACUUGAGAAGGUGAAACCUCAUUUUGGUACUUGUCAUAUUUAUACUUCAUCUUUUUUGGAAUUGGAGAUGACGGCAAAUUUGACAUUGAAGGACAACCUGAAAUACUGUGAUGAAGACUUAAAAGUGUUAAGGUAACAUCAUGAUCAGCUGCAACUAACAUUUUUCCUUCUUCAAAUGGGAAGAACUUCAACUCUUCCACAUCACGACUUUGUGAGAGAAAAAUGGGAAAUAAAUGGGAAUGGGGGAAUCUUGACUUUGACCAAUUUUGGAUCUUGGGAAAAAUUUUGCAAGUAUACAAGUUGGAAAGGGAGAGGGCAAAGCUAGCCAUGAGAUCAGUCAUAGCUGAAUCUCAAGGUGUUUUUGUUGACCUUGAAGAGGAACAAGAAGCACUUGAGGGCAUAGUGGGCUCUCGGCAUGGCCCACGUAUCCGCAAACCCACCAUCACCUCGCUCAUUGCUUUUGCUUCCUCUAGUAGAGUACCUGGCACUGUUCCACUUCCAUUAUCACAAUCAGGGUCCAUAGGUGAUUAUUUUGUGCCCAGGAACACACCUGGAGCACAACCAUCAUUAGAGGCCACUGGAUGGAAUAACGAGGUACAUGAGAAAACUGACAUUGCAGUAGCUGAUUUUUGGUACUUCAACAACAUUGCAUUCAAUGUGGCAGACAAUGCUUAUUGGCUGAAUUUGGUGACUGCUAUGAUAGUUUCAGGAAAGGGGUAUAAGGCCCCUUCUCGCAAGGAUUUGAGUGGGAGGUUAGUAAAUUACUACAUAGUCCACUUGAUUUCAUUUUUAAUUAUUUUUUAGAUUUCUUGUUUAUUAAAUCAAAAUUGUGUACUAAGACCUAAUUUCACUUUGCACUUACAGGUUGCUCACAAAUGCAGUUGCUAGGGCAAGAGAAGUGAUGGAGGAUCAAAAAAUUGAAUGGGCAAAUUAUGGCUGCACCAUUCUUUCUGAUGGGUGGACAGAUGGCAAGAACCGCACCAUCAUCAAUUUUUUGGUUGCUUGCAAGGAGAAUGUAGUGCUCUUGAAAUUUGUUGAUGCCUCCAGCAAAGUGAAAAAUGCAGAAACAUUGGUUGGAAUGUUGAGCAUGUCGUCAUGGAGGUGGGGGUAGAGAAUGUGGUGCAAAUCAUCACAGAUAAUGCAGCAGCAUAUGUGUCUAGGAAGAAACCUCCAAGAGAGGCACCCCACUCUUUUUUGGACACCUUGUGCAACACAUGUCCUUGACCUUCUUUUGGAGGACAUAAGAAAACUUGAGUGGGUGACUCCAAUUGUGGAAUAUGCAAGGAGGAUCACCAAAUAUAUUUACAAUCACCUUUUGGGUCCUAAAUUUGAUGAGACAGCACACCCAAGGGAAAGAUUUGGUGAGAGUUGGUGUCACAAGGUUUGCAACGAUUUUGUGAGUGGAGAAUGGCUUAACUCACCUUAUUCAAAGAAGCUUGAAGGAGAGGUCGUCGCAUGCAUAGUCUUCUAGAGCCAAUUUGCACAAAGGGCUGCAAAGAUUGUGAAGGUGUCAAAGCCCUUGGUUCGAGUUCUUCGCUUGGUGGAUGGGGAUAAAACCCCAAUGGGAUAUCUUUAUGCGGCCAUGGAUAGGGCCAAGGAGUCUAUCAAAAAUCACUACAAGGGGGAUAGACUCAAAUUUGAUCCCAUUUGGGAAAUUGUUGAUAGGAGGUGGAACAAUCAGCUCCACCAACCCAUUCAUGCAGUAGGGUACUUCCUCAAUCCUCGUUUUAGGUUCGGGGGUUCUUACUCAGAUCCGAAUGGAGAAGUCAUGGAGGGCCUCAGUACAUGCAUUGAGAGGAUGGUACCCAAUGUUGAGGAGAGAGACCUCAUUGUGAGUGAGCUCCAAAAUUAUGAGGGAGGAAGGGGUAAGCUAUUCUCUUCAGAGUUGGCUAGGAGAGGAAGAA
Long non-coding RNA from Cryptomeria japonica (Japanese cedar), 4175 nucleotides. RefSeq lists it as uncharacterized. NCBI's taxonomy places the organism in Eukaryota, Viridiplantae, Streptophyta, Pinopsida, Cupressales, Cupressaceae. The transcript is spliced from 3 exons. The record is from RefSeq and is a predicted model, not a curated record.